Corythoichthys intestinalis (scribbled pipefish) is the source of this 3754-nucleotide RNA transcript. RefSeq lists it as uncharacterized. The record is from RefSeq and is a predicted model, not a curated record. The transcript is spliced from 5 exons. Lineage: Eukaryota; Metazoa; Chordata; Actinopteri; Syngnathiformes; Syngnathidae.
ACUGCUGUUCACUUGCUGAAACGACGACAAAAAAUGUGGACGGUGCUACAAUUGCUGCUCCUGUUAAUCUCAUAUAGAGGAUGUGUGGGUGGUCCCAAUUUCACGACAGAAACCAGAGUAAUUGGACAAAAUGUCACUCUGGGAUGUUCCCGUGACAAUAAUUUGAGUUAUGAUCUUCUUUGGAUCCGACUUGUUAGUGGAACCUUUCCUGAAUUUUUAUUUGGAGUGUCAUCUCUUGAUUCAACACUUUUGGAACAUGGGAGCUUAAACUCCGGAGAUCGCAUUACUGCCAAACAAGAACCAGGAAUGUUUGUUCUGCAAAUUACUCAUGUGCAGAAAAGUGACAUGGCUGUUUAUUACUGUGUUAAAGUGCAUAACUCUUUUUUGACAUUUUUGAAUGGAACAUUUCUUCAAGUCACAGAUAAUGACAUGAGUUCGACUACCGCCACGCAAGACUUGCAGUCUGAAGCAGGACAACCUGUGACUUUACAUUACUUGAUCCUCUAUCCCUCUAGGAAUAAAAAAUGCACGGAUGGACACAAUGUUUACUGGUUCCAUGAUGGAACAAUCAAUUCACAUCUCAAAAAAUGCGGGGAGGUCAAAGGUGACUCGAUGCAGAAAUGCAUUCACACUUUCUUGAAAAAAGUCAGUUCCUCUGAUGCCGGAAUUUACUCUUGUGCACUGGCCACAUGUGGGGAGAUUUUUAUGGGAAAUUCAACAAAAAUCCCCACUCAAGGUGAAGUUGCCAUUGGGUGUGACAAUUCUCUUAUCUCAGUCUUGGGUGCUGCUUUGGCUUUAUGUGUCAUCUCUUUAGCCUUCCUCAUCAAAAAGAGCAUAACAAAUAGAUGGUUUUAUUGUAAAGGUAAGAAACCUUUAAUAUUCAUUACUUGUCCCUUAUUUCCAUGGUGCUUAAACUUUUGUGUCCAAUUAAACCACUUUCGUGUACUGAUAUAUGGCAGAAAACAGACAAGACUGAAAAAGCAGUUUCUGCUCUUGCACUCCUCUUUAAAAGAAACUGCUGUAUUUCAAGCCAAAACAACUGCUGUGUUUGAUAGAACAAUAUGUCUAUAUGCUGUCAUACCAGAUUCAUGGCGCAUUAAGCCCUCGAACUAUUUUUAAUUUGUCCGUUUUACCCUGGAAACCCCCGUUUACAGACGUCGCGCAACCGCUUUUGUUUCAACCCAGCCAUAAAACGAAGGUAGUUAGUUAUAUUUAUUAUUCAAAAUGUCUGUCAUUUUUAGCUUAGAAUCAUUACUUGAUGUCUAAUAUUUCAUUAAAAAAAAAACAACUUUAAGAAAUUAUUCACUCGCAUAUUUUAAACUUUUUAACAAAUGACGUCACAAUGAAAAAAAAUGAUGUGUGUAAAAGAAGUCACGGAUAUCUACCUCAUAACUAUCGCUUAAUUGUAUUUUUUUGUUACUGUCGCAUUUCCUCCGAUAUGUUAGAUGAUAAUCGAUCCAAACAAAGAAAAACUGAGGAAAAAAAAAAACAUUUAAAAGGGUAAAUAUAUGAAAAAGAAAAUCUCAACCACUCCUUGAUGUCUGCGAUUUCUGCAACGCGACCCUUAUUAUAUUAUUAUGUCUCACCCAUAAAAUCCCCCAAAAAUCCAGCUGUGGCCAUUCAUAGCUGUGUUUUGACACUCGGUGAUACAUGCUACAUGGAGUUUUUGGAUCAGAAAAAGGUAAGUACGCGAUAUCUCGUUAAAGUCAUGGCGUCUGUAAUUCUGCUCUCGCGUGCUCCCACCUCUAGUUAGGGUUUUGCUGUUUAAUUUUUUUUUUUUUUUUUUUUUUAAAUGCCCUCCUGUUCAAAAAUUUUCCUCCCCCAGAAAAUUGAGAUUAUAAGCUUUCCAAUGAUAUAUCACACAUGCAUAUCGGAGAAUUUUGAAAGUUGGCCAAAUUGGGAGUCUCAGAGCAGAACUUUAUGUCACCUGAGUGUUUUCCGCCAUAUAUAUAAAAAUCACAGUUUGUUAGUCCAGCGUCACUUUUAUUCUUUGUGUAAUAGCAUACAUUUUCUUCUCGUGAUGUUCAGCUUGUCAGAAAACCCGUGAAGAAACGUCCAAUCAUGUGCAGCAGAGAGAUGAGGAGUCUUUGGUUUAUUCAGCACCGACUUUCGUCGCCAGGAAAAGUGACAAUGCAAGGAAGACUCAGACCCGCAAGGAAUUUAGCACAUAUGCCGACAUCUCGCUCCAUAGCUGAAUUCUCAUGUGGUGAAAUGAAUAAAUUGCACGUGACAUUCAGGAUUUAAGCGUUUUGUGUGAAGACCUUUGGUUUCUUAUUUUAGAGUAUCGUAAGAAUGUAUCUUAAUGAACAACUUAAAUCAACUCAACUUGCGCAAAUAAUGAAGAUAAGUCCUGAAAUAAUUAUGUUGUGUUGUCAUGAUCUUAAAAAUGGUUGGUUAUAUACUUAUUUCCAUCCGAAUCAAACCACUGUGUUCAGCCCUGAACUUGAAGAAUCGCUUGGACAGUAAGAAAGCAACUGAGGUCGCACUUUUUCACAGUCAAAAAGCACACAACUUUCCAUCCGACAUUUGCGGCAGGAGGUCUGUGGCAGGAGUGUGUUUGUGAGUGAGUAAGCAAGUAAGUGUGUGUGUGUGUUUUCAGCUUCCUCAUAUAAUAACAUUGUCAAAACAUAGUCUCAUAUCUCAAGACACCACUUUAUUUUGAAUUUACGUCCAAAUCAAAUAUGCCCUGUAAAACUAUAAAACUUCCAAAAAGUUAUACUAAGAUUAUAAAUAAGCACAACUCAAAUUUUCAAGUUUUCAUCAGUAAUUUUAUUUUUGACUAUUCACAACUCAUCAAGUUAACACUGUUAUCUUUGUAAAAAGAGUUUUGCUAACUUGAAUGAUCAAGUUUGGUGCAAAACUUGCAUUUCUGAGACAGCAGAACUUAAAAGUUGUCCUAACUUGAAGACUCAGGUUAAAAUCCUGCUUGGAUUAACUUUAUAAACUGUAUAUGCUUACACUUAAAUCCGAAGUCCAGAUAUGAGUUCUGCUUACUUAACAUAAGGGCACAUUACUUAAAAUGUUGAGCUCAGCUUUCUUAUUUUUUUUUGUUUUGGCAGUAACUUGGAUUUUCAAGUUUCAAGCAAAUGCAAGUGAAAUAGGUUGACUAGAAAUUUCAAGUUCUGCUUUGUUAUUUUUUACAGUGUCUGUAAGAUUUUAGCUAUCAAAUUCACUUUGCUUAACUAAAAGAAGCAGCGAUUUUUCAUCUGAAUGCAACAAAUGUGAACUGAAUGAAAAGUCACCAGACCACAACAACAGUGACAACAACGAUGGAGGAGGCCAGCAGAGCCCCGAGUACGAUGCCAACCGCUUUCAGAUCUUGACCUGGCAUAGAAAAACACAUACAUACAUAUAAAAAAAUAAAAAAUAAGUAGGGUUCUCGCUCAUUUAUUACACGCCAAGACAAUUGACUAAUGUUCUACACUAUUUCUUUGUUUGGUUUUUAGGUCAUACUGUGUCUUCAAGUAAGAGACAAAUUUAAGACAAGAUGGUAAUCAGACCACAACAGGAAGUAACAAGAACCUAACGACAUGAAAGAAGAAAGGAAGGAACUUGACCUGAAAAAUUGCACGUUGUUGUCCUCCAUUAAGUUGUGCUCUUUAGGUUAUAAUUACCUGAAAAACUUUUAGUAUGUGAUGCUAACAUAUUUAGCCUGUUACUUUCUGUUAUUGUUAUUACUGUGUUACACAUAUUUGUUCAUGCUUCUUUUUUUUCUUCUUUGUGCAUUUUUUUGGCUUGUGCGAUUUAUACUCAG